Molecule: unclassified non-coding RNA, 404 nt
Filed under: soil metagenome
Description: partial contains 5.8S ribosomal RNA, internal transcribed spacer 2, and large subunit ribosomal RNA
Rfam family: 5.8S ribosomal RNA (bases 1-121)
Source: RNAcentral
GAUGAAGAACGCAGCGAAAUGCGAUAGGUAGUGUGAAUUGCAGAUGUAACGUGAAUCAUCGAAUCUUUGAACGCAAAUUGCACUCUCUGGUAUUCCGGGGAGUAUGCCUGUUUGAGGGUCGCCAAAUCAACAUCGAAAUUCAUUUGCUUUUGUAAAUGUUUAUCGGAUUUGAGCCGUCUUUUAUUUUUUUAAUUAAAGUGGCUUAAAAUGUAUUUUUUGGUAUCGAAAAACGUUAUUUUACGAUCAAAUUGAUUAAAAAAACAAACGUUUCGAAUGCCGUCUUUUAAUGUAAUACGCUUGACUGUGGUGUUAAUCAUAGUUUCAUUCGUAUACGAUUUUUUAAUUUUUGACCUCAAAUCAGGUAAGAACACCCGCUGAACUUAAGCAUAUCAAUAAGCGGAGGA